This 116-nucleotide ribosomal RNA is filed under the name Paramormyrops kingsleyae. Lineage: Eukaryota; Metazoa; Chordata; Actinopteri; Osteoglossiformes; Mormyridae. The record is from RNAcentral.
ACCACCAGCCAUACCAGCUGCAGUUCUGACCCAGUAAUCAUCUGAAGCUAAGCAGGUAUGAGUCUGGCCAGUACUUAGAUGGGAGACCAGCUAGGAUGACUGGGUUACUGCUAGAA